AUACGUAGGGUGCAAGCGUUAAUCGGAAUUACUGGGCGUAAAGCGUGCGCAGGCGGUUUUGUAAGACAGAGGUGAAAUCCCCGGGCUCAACCUGGGAACUGCCUUUGUGACUGCAAGGCUAGAGUACGGCAGAGGGGGAUGGAAUUCCGCGUGUAGCAGUGAAAUGCGUAGAUAUGCGGAGGAACACCGAUGGCGAAGGCAAUCCCCUGGGCCUGUACUGACGCUCAUGCACGAAAGCGUGGGGAGCAAACAGGAUUAGAUACCCUGGUAGUCCACGCCCUAAACGAUGUCAACUGGUUGUUGGGUCUUCAUUGACUCAGUAACGAAGCUAACGCGUGAAGUUGACCGCCUGGGGAGUACGGCCGCAAGGCUGAAACUCAAAGGAAUUGACGGGG
This 395-nucleotide ribosomal RNA is filed under the name uncultured bacterium. RNAcentral's name for it is "partial 16S ribosomal RNA". It matches the Rfam family "Bacterial small subunit ribosomal RNA", at positions 523 to 918 of the family's 1533-position model. The record is from RNAcentral.